AUGCAUCGAAGUGGGAUUGUCAUCCAGCACUUUUCAGAACACUUGCCCUUGACAAAAGUAAGAAAGGAGCUCCUGGGUGCGACCGCGGAAGGGGUUGCCCAGCCCGCACCAUCCCAGGACCCUGGCCCGCAAGGAGCCGGCGCCUGGUCGGGGAAGGCGGGUUUGCGCCUGGGCCCCCUGAGCUGUGCCAACACGGGGCAGCUGUACUUCGGGGCCGGUUCCAAGCUGGCCGUGCUGGAGGAUCUGCAGAAGGUCACCCCUCCCACGGUCACAGUGUUUGAACCAUCAGAAGCAGAGAUCUCGCGGACCCAGAAGGCCACACUCGUGUGCCUGGCCACGGGCUUCUACCCCGACCACGUGGAGCUGAGCUGGUGGGUGAACGGGAAGGAGGUCACAAGUGGGUUCAGCACCGACCCGCAGCCCUACAAGGAGAGGCCCAGCGAGAAUGACUCCAGCUACUGUCUGAGCAGCCGGCUGAGGGUCUCUGCCUCCUUCUGGCACAACCCGCGCAACCACUUCCGCUGCCAAGUCCAGUUCUAUGGGCUCGGGGACGACGAUGAGUGGGAACACGAUAGAGUCAAACCCAUCACCCAGAACGUCAGUGCUGAGGCCUGGGGCAGAGCAGACUGUGGCUUCACCUCGGUGUCCUACCAUCAGGGCGUCCUGUCUGCCACCAUCCUCUAUGAGAUCCUACUGGGGAAGGCCACGCUGUAUGCUGUGCUGGUCAGCGUCCUGGUGCUGAUGGCCAAGGUCAAGAGAAAAGGUUCCUGAGACCAGCUCCAAAAGUGCAUCCUGAGAUGAUCAUGAGCCUCACCCUCGAUUCUCCUUCGCACGCUUCCAGUCUGCGUUUCUAAAAGAGUUAUUCUCUCUCUACCUCUUAUCACCUUCCUGCUGGGAUAUCUGUCCCCUCUCUCUGCUUCCCUGCAGACUGAGCUCCUCAGGCCUGAUACUGAAAUAGACUAAAACAAUAAAAGUGUC
Molecule: non-coding RNA, 978 nt
Organism: Nyctereutes procyonoides (raccoon dog)
Lineage: Eukaryota; Metazoa; Chordata; Mammalia; Carnivora; Canidae
Source: the annotation of a RefSeq genome assembly